This 789-nucleotide long non-coding RNA is filed under the name Physcomitrium patens. RNAcentral's name for it is "long non-coding RNA (PPAT_LNC011662)". The record is from RNAcentral. Lineage: Eukaryota; Viridiplantae; Streptophyta; Bryopsida; Funariales; Funariaceae.
UUAAAUUCAUUCUUAAAAAUUUUUAUGGCUAUAUUUGAAGAAAGUGAUUGAGAAAGAAUAGUAGAGACCAAACUUAUAUCUUUACAAUAAAGAACAUAUUCAACUACCAUAUAUGCUGCUAAAUUCCAAAACCUUACUUGCAAUAUGGAUUGAAAAGACAAAGCUCUUAUCUAUCAAUUUUGAUAUGGAUUAAAAGAUAAUAUCAAAGAUUUACUAUUAACUAUGUCAAGAGCAAACUCAUUGGAGCAAUCUAGUGCUUAAGUCAUUGCAUGCAACAAUCAACUAUUUAAAAAACACCAAGAACAAAGUUUUGGUUGAAGAAGAGCAAGUCAAGUCAUGGUGACAUCUUCUAAGUUUUCAAAAGCUUAUUUAUUUGAGCUAGAGCAUAUGUAAAUUGAUACAAUACGUUUUAAAUUUCUUAUUGAGCAAAAAAAGAUUCAUUGUUAUUAAAAGAUUUGUGCCUAUAUUGUGGAGAAUCCAAGCAUACUGCUUAACAUUGUCCAAAGAAGCAACGUAAAGACAAAAUGAAGAAUAUGGUUGCCAAAGAGGAUGAUAUGUUGGAAAACAAGUUUCUAUAGUUAUAAUAGAGACCAUGUGGUUAGAAUCUUGUGUAAUACCUAGUAAAGGUCAUAUUCUUUCCUCAAAUCCUUCACCUUGUUUUACAUUAGAAGUUUCUUUUAGAUCAAAAAAUAACAAAGUCUUAGACUAUUUUAUAGAUGAAGAUUUUGUCAAAGAACAAGAAAUAUUCUUUGUUUAAAAAACCAAACUUGUGCAUGUAGAAGAACCAUG